UUUCCAGACUCCUACGGGAGGCAGCAGUGGGGAAUAUUGCACAAUGGGGGGAACCCUGAUGCAGCGACGCCGCGUGGGCGAGGAAGUAUUUCGGUCUGUAAAGCCCUAUCGGCAGGGAAGAAGAAAUGACGGUACCUGAAUAAGAAGCACCGGCUAAAUACGUGCCAGCAGCCGCCGCAAUACGUAGGGGGCAAGCGUUAUCCGGAUUUACUGGGUGUAAAGGGAGCGUAGACGGAAAGGCAAGUCAGAAGUGAAAGCCCAAGGCUCAACCAUGGGACUGCUUUUGAAACUGUCAAACUAGAGUACGGGAGAGGUAAGAGGAAUUCCUAGUGUAGCGGUGAAAUGCGUAGAUAUUAGGAGGAACACCAGUGGCGAAGGCGUCUUACUGGACCGAAACUGACGUUGAGGCUCGAAAGCGUGGGGAGCAAACAGGAUUAGAUACCCCUGUAAC
RNAcentral lists this ribosomal RNA (451 nucleotides) under uncultured bacterium. RNAcentral describes it as "partial 16S ribosomal RNA". It matches the Rfam family "Bacterial small subunit ribosomal RNA", at positions 328 to 794 of the family's 1533-position model. The record is from RNAcentral.